GAUGAACGCUGGCGGCGUGCCUAAUACAUGCAAGUCGAGCGAACAGACGAGGAGCUUGCUCCUCUGACGUUAGCGGCGGACGGGUGAGUAACACGUGGAUAACCUACCUAUAAGACUGGGAUAACUUCGGGAAACCGGAGCUAAUACCGGAUAAUAUAUUGAACCGCAUGGUUCAAUAGUGAAAGACGGUUUUGCUGUCACUUAUAGAUGGAUCCGCGCCGCAUUAGCUAGUUGGUAAGGUAACGGCUUACCAAGGCGACGAUGCGUAGCCGACCUGAGAGGGUGAUCCGCCACACUGGAACUGAGACACGGUCCAGACUCCUAAGGGAGGCAGCAGUAGGGAAUCUUCCGCAAUGGGCGAAAGCCUGACGGAGCAACGCCGCGUGAGUGAUGAAGGUCUUCGGAUCGUAAAACUCUGUUAUUAGGGAAGAACAAAUGUGUAAGUAACUAUGCACGUCUUGACGGUACCUAAUCAGAAAGCCACGGCUAACUACGUG
This 497-nucleotide ribosomal RNA is filed under the name uncultured bacterium. Its description in RNAcentral is "partial 16S ribosomal RNA". It matches the Rfam family "Bacterial small subunit ribosomal RNA", at positions 28 to 507 of the family's 1533-position model. The record is from RNAcentral.